CGCGGCCUAUCAGCUUGUUGGUGAGGUAAUGGCUCACCAAGGCGACGACGGGUAGCCGGCCUGAGAGGGUGACCGGCCACACUGGGACUGAGACACGGCCCAGACUCCUACGGGAGGCAGCAGUGGGGAAUAUUGCACAAUGGGCGCAAGCCUGAUGCAGCGACGCCGCGUGAGGGAUGACGGCCUUCGGGUUGUAAACCUCUUUCAGCAGGGAAGAAGCGAGAGUGACGGUACCUGCAGAAGAAGCGCCGGCUAACUACGUGCCAGCAGCCGCGGUAAUACGUAGGGCGCAAGCGUUGUCCGGAAUUAUUGGGCGUAAAGAGCUCGUAGGCGGUUUGUCGCGUCUGCUGUGAAAGCCCGGGGCUCAACCCCGGGUCUGCAGUGGGUACGGGCAGACUAGAGUGCAGUAGGGGAGACUGGAAUUCCUGGUGUAGCGGUGAAAUGCGCAGAUAUCAGGAGGAACACCGGUGGCGAAGGCGGGUCUCUGGGCCGAUACUGACGCUGAGGAGCGAAAGCGUGGGGAGCGAACAGGAUUAGAUACCCUGGUAGUCCACGCUGUAAACGUUGGGCGCUAGGUGUGGGGGACCUCUCCGGUUCUCUGUGCCGCAGCUAACGCAUUAAGCGCCCCGCCUGGGGAGUACGG
This 643-nucleotide ribosomal RNA is filed under the name uncultured bacterium. Its description in RNAcentral is "bacterial SSU rRNA". It matches the Rfam family "Bacterial small subunit ribosomal RNA", at positions 232 to 885 of the family's 1533-position model. The record is from RNAcentral.